CUUUUAUGCAUAUCAUUUGCAUCAAAACAACAUUUCAACAGACCAAUCCUUAUUCCAAUUGUCAGCACCCUAUAAAUAGAGAGAACCUCCUUCUUCUGUCUGUCUCAGAAUCUCUUCUCUACAUUGACGCUUCCCAACCAAACUUCAGCUAUGAAGAUCCUUUACCUUCUUUUUGCUGUCCUCUUCCUCAUGAUGCAGGCUGGUGUGGAAGGACACUGUACUGGUAUGAGGCACCGAUGCUGGCACAGAAGAGGAAGGUGCUACCACGGAAGUUGCCCCCAUCAUACACGUUAUAUCGGACCUUGCUGCGGGGGGCAUGUUUGCUGUAGAUCAAUCCAUUCCUAAUUCCACAUGGGAACCACCAUGAUAUAAACAGAGGGCCCGAGGGAAUGGUGGCAGCAGAGAUUGUCAAAGGAGCAUCUCUGGGAAUCUGGG
Non-coding RNA from Pelodiscus sinensis (Chinese soft-shelled turtle), 435 nucleotides. NCBI's taxonomy places the organism in Eukaryota, Metazoa, Chordata, Testudines, Trionychidae. The record is from RefSeq and is a predicted model, not a curated record.